UUUGUUACAUGAUCAAGAGCUUCUUGUUAUCUUUUUAUCCCUAGGGUUUUCUUUUCAAUUUAUACUCUUUUGCUCAUCUCUCUCAUCUUUCUCACUCCCCAUCCCAAGAUAUUGAAAUUUAGAACACACAAACCCCUCUCAACAUCCUAGAAUGCUAACUCAUUGUGCUAGCAAGAGAUGAGAAUAAACCUAUGUCGCCUCCAAUACUCUCAAAAUUUUGCACAUGACAAGCUUUCAAAAGAGGCCUCACUCAUGCAAUUCAAUGUUUGGUCUCAAAGAAUGGUUAAGGUUUUAGGGUAGGGAGUGCCAUUUGGGUUAACAAAGAUAGGUAUGAAGGAAUAAGAUAACCCAAAUGUGUAUGAGAACCAUGAUCAAGUAAGCAAAUGCCCAUAUGCAAGAGAGAUUAAGUUCAUUCAAGCCAAGUUCAGAUUGGAGCUGAUCUUAAAAACAAUGCCAACAUCAAGCAAGCAAACAAGUUUCAAGAAGAGUUUUCAAGGCUCGAAGCGUGCAAGGUUUUCAAGAGAUGCUUAAGCUACUUGAUAUGUUUAACUACGGUGUCAUUUUGAGUUCUAGACAAGAGUUCCUUGCAAGGCAUUAAAAUCAUUGUUCCCAAUGCAAGUUAAUGCAACCUAUAUGCUCUAGACUCAAUCCUAAAAAUGCAAGUGAUACAACUACAUGUUUUUUUUUGUGUUUUUCAAAUUUUUCAAUUUUUUUGGUUUUUCUAUGCAUAUAUGUAUGUACAAUGCAAUGCAUGAGACUCAAAUUAUCAAAGAAAACAUGAUCAAAGUACUUGAUACCUCCCCAAACUUAGUUCACACAGUCUAUGUGUUAGGAAGUAGGAGGAGAUACCGAAAAGAGAAAUAAAUGCAAAGAAAAACUGGUAUAUACAAUGGAAGGGUGGUGGAGUACCUCUCUAUGAAGCGUGAGAAGAGGCUGAUGCCUCAUCCUCGGUGUCAGCGUCCUCAUCUGUCGAUGCAAGGGAUGGAGAUUUGUUUCCUGAAUCAGACGGUUGAGCUGGUGGGUUUCUCUUCCGGCGGAGCAGCUCUUUCUUGGUGGCGGGAAGUCUGAGUGCUAAAGGACCAAUUGAAGGCUGAGGCUGGGGGGUAAGGAAGUCAAAGUCUGAUGAUGAACAUCCCGCUACAGCUCCUCUAGUUAGUAUAUCAGCCACCUUCUUCAUGAACUGAGCUGAAGCUUCCGCUUGCCUCUUCACGGUCUUACUCAACACCUUGCACUUGUCUUUGAGCUUGAAGAUAGUUCUGUCCUGAGCCUUGUUCCAUCAUUGGAGGUUGCUA
RNAcentral lists this long non-coding RNA (1292 nucleotides) under Brassica rapa (field mustard). RNAcentral describes it as "long non-coding RNA (BRAP_LNC004301)". The record is from RNAcentral. Lineage: Eukaryota; Viridiplantae; Streptophyta; Magnoliopsida; Brassicales; Brassicaceae.